This is a long non-coding RNA of Lathyrus oleraceus (garden pea), 1268 nucleotides long. RefSeq lists it as uncharacterized. Lineage: Eukaryota; Viridiplantae; Streptophyta; Magnoliopsida; Fabales; Fabaceae. The record is from RefSeq and is a predicted model, not a curated record. The transcript has 2 exons.
UAGGCCCGUUUUGAAUCCAAAUGGUGGACAGGGGGCUUAAGCCCAAACUAAACAAAAGCCAGGUCCGGGCCAAAAGAUCCAGGUCCAACGUGGAGUUCUUCCGGAUCCAGCACAAAACUCAGCGCCGCAUAUGAACGUUCCGAUCCCAAUCAUCUUGACCUCUUUUUCGCGUAACAUUUGAAGCUCCAUCGAAUUCCAAGCACCAGACCGAAGCCGAAAACAUCUACGCCAUAAUCAUACUUGUAUCCUUCAUCAUCUUCGUCCUCAAUUCAAAAUACUCACACAGAAGCCAAGAACAACUUUGUAUGCACAUCCAAACUCACGAUCGACUAAUCCACCAAGGUCAAGUUGUUUCCACCAAUUCGUGUAUGCACGCAGACUUGUGAAGCAGUGCAGAUUCGUUCAAGAAAUUCACGUCGGUUACAGAAAUAAAGAGCAUAAGAAUACUCACCAGAUCGAAAUUGGGAUGGAGUGGAUCUCCGGUGACUUCACAUGUAAUGCUUUGUUCUCCUCUUUCCUCGAUUAUCCACUGUUUGUGUUCUUUCCUCGAUCUUCUUCUUCCUUGCGUUCUCGUUGAUUCGUGGUGAAUGCAGAGAGAGUGAAUUAGAGAGGUUGAGAGGGAAAAAAUCAGAGUUAUUUUGAGGGAAAGAAAACGGGAAUGAAACUCAGAGUGAAGAUUCAAUUUAUACUUCCUCAUCCCAAAUUCUGUUAGAGAGUCAUAUUGAAAUGCAUAUGGAAUUUAACAUAAAUUCCCUGGAAAUGAGAAAAUCUGUUAGAGAAAAUGUCACGAGCUGUUUACCGGUGGAUUCUGAAUUCAGUGUUCUGUUAAUGGCUAAUUGAGGGCCUGAUGUUAGCAGGGCGGAAACUCUGUAGGAUAUGUUAUGUUAUGUUGAAAAGAAAAAUAAGGCCGGGUUGUUAUGAUUGAAGGAAUCUGACUGGUUUUGUUUACCACAGGUGCAGGGUUAAGUGCAGGUCUUGCACUUUUAUGAAGGAGUUUCAUUUGUGUGUAGGCUGGAAAUACUACUGUGAAUCAAAGGCCAUGUAUUGCAGCUGACAGGACUGAGUUUAAUGUCAGGGACUUUAGGUUAUGGGUUGGUUAAUUGCCUUUCUUUUGGAAUGUAAGAUUGUAAUGUACGUAUUGCUAUGGAAUUGUAUGUAUUUGAAUGGAAAGUGUGUAUUGAAUUGGAUUUGUAAUGGAAAGUUAUUUAUGGAUGAAAGUUUUAAAAUUCUAUGGAAUUGUAUUUGAAUGGAAAGUGUAUUGAAUGCUA